Long non-coding RNA from Orcinus orca (killer whale), 7916 nucleotides. RefSeq lists it as uncharacterized. The transcript is spliced from 4 exons. The record is from RefSeq and is a predicted model, not a curated record. Lineage: Eukaryota; Metazoa; Chordata; Mammalia; Artiodactyla; Delphinidae.
ACAGGUCUGGAAUUAGGACAGAAUCAGGGCUAGAGAUGGGAGUCGUCUUUCAGGAGGCUGUACCUCAAGCCUGGAGUAGGUAAGAUCUUUCAGAAACAGAGACUGGGAAAGGACCAAGGAUUGGACGUGCUUACCCUUAAGGGCUGUCCAGAGGAAGGAAAGUAAGAAGGAUUAAUCAGAUCAGUUAAAGGCUUUGGAAGUACCUAAAGCUUUGGGGGACGAGUAAGGAGGGAAUGAAAACUUACAAAGAGGAAGAAAGAAAAUGAUCUUCCUGGACAGUUGAAAACUGCCUCUCCCACUUCACAAGACAGCCCGUCUUCUCGUCCUCUUGCCUUUAAAUUGUCACACUUCCCUAACUUAUUAAUACACAUCUGCUCAAAUUGUGGUUUCCGUCUCAACUGACCCAUUUGGCAGGAGCGACAGGCUGCAAAUCGUGAUCUGAGCCAACAUCAUCUGAUUUUUUACCAUUGCUAUCUCGAGCAUACACCUGUCACAGAGAACGCCAGGUGUUAAGCAACAGAUGUUCCUGGGAUUCACAAAGAAAAACAGGUAACUUCUCCUCUAUGCUUCUUAGCAUAAAAACACAAUAAUAGCCAUUAAUAUAUUUAAUAGAAGGGACAAGAGGAUCAGCCCAUUUGUGGAAUAUAUGUAUCUUGUUCCAAGCAAGUCAGUAGAGCUAAGAAUAUGGGCUUUUUUUUUUUUUUUUUUUUUUUUGAGAAUAAGUGUUAACAGUGCUCUGAAUAAAAGGUGACUCUAUGCCACUGUUGUUUCAAAGUGCAGUACAGGGACCACAUGCAUCAAAAUUACCUGGGCUGCAUAUUAAAGUGCAGAUUUCUGGGCCAGUCUCAGAGAUUCAGAGUUAGAAGACCUGGCACUUAAUCAUUUCCCCAAAGCACACUGAAAAUAUUGCAUCCUAUUAGUAUCUCAUCUUUUCAUGCAAUUCUCAACACUCCCUGUUCUUUCUUCUAGACUGUUUGGAUUCUAGGUCAGACCUUCACAAAUUUCCCUCCUGCCAUGCCUCUGGAAUGAGCCCAACCAUCAGUAUUCCCAAUGCCAUCCUCUCUUCCUUCCAUCCCCAGCCCUGCACUCCCCACUUCUGCUGAAGCUGUAGGGACACAAAAUCCAAGGGUGGAGCAAAAAAUAGAGCCUAAGAAUCACCCCAACCAAGGGCCAGCAACAGGCUCUGAGUUGAAGGCAGGGUAGCUGGGAAGCCCAAAUUGUUGAAGAUGCAGGGAAGUGUAGUGAGUGUGAUGGAAAGGGGACAGCCAAGCCAGUAUCCCAAAGCACCCUGUGGCUGCCACACACUGCAGUGAGGCCAAGUUUCAAGACCCAAGGAUGGAAAAGAUUAGAUCAUACCCUUUUGUCAUAUGUCAGUAAGAAAAUUAAAAGGAUUAUACAAUUCAGAGUGUGGUGAGAGGCUUACAACAGAAGAGAGUUUUGAGUCAAAAAAUUUUAACUACCUUAAAAUUUAAUAUAUUCCCUAUCACUCAACAGAGAUUUAGUUCUUGCCAUUUAAUCUGUUGCAUUUAAAAUGAAUUCUGUUGUGUUUUAAAAGUCAACUUGGAUUUGUUCAAUGAAUAUUUAUCAAUGCCUGCAGGGGAUACAAUGUUCAGCAAAAACUGACUUGGUCUCUGCCCUUAGAGAGUUUAUAUUCCCACAGGGAAGAGAGUGGUUGAGUAAAUAAUCACAUUAAAAAAAGCAUUAUUGCAAACAGAGCUAAGUGUUACGACAGUGAGGUUCAGGGUAUUAUAAAGAUAUAUUACAGGAGUACCUGUCCUAGUCUGGGAAGGUCGGGGGUGGUGCGGCAAGAAGGUGUCCCUGCAGAAGUGACAUGUGGUCUAAGAACUGAAGAAUGAGCAAGUUAAUCAGACUUGGUGAGAAGAGCAUUUCAGACAGAGGAAACAGCAUUUUUCCUCUGCAGUGGGUUGAAGAUGUCCACAUGAAAGCAAGCAAGUGGUCCUGAGUACAGAGAACAGAGAGAAGGAGAUUCGCAUGAGGCUGGAGCUACAGGCAGAGGUCAGACUUUGCAGGGCCUUGCUGGUCCAGCUAAGCAGACAGUUCUUUAUCUAAGAACAACGAGAACCAUGUGAAGCAGGGGAUGAUAUGGUCAGUUUGCAUUUUAAAAAGUCCUCUUAUACUGCAGUGUCAAGAACAGAUGAAGAGGGCCAAGGUUGGAAGUGAGAACACCACUCAGGGGUCUAUGGAACCAGGUCAGAUGAAUGAUAACCGUGGCUUGGGCAAAGCGGGUGGCAGUGGAGAUGGGGAGAAGAAGACUGCUUUGAGACACAUUUCGGAGUUAUCAGUGACAGGACUUAAUAAUGGAUUUGAUACAGGAUUAAAGGGGAGGAGAGGGAUGAGUCAGGAAUUAUGCCUAGGUGUCUAGCUCGUACCACUAAAUGGAGGACUCUGUCCUUCCCUGAUGGAGGGAACACUUAAGAGGACUGGGUUUGGAGGGGAAAAUAAUUAUGUUAACUUUUGGAUAUGCUUAGCUUGAAGUGUUCCUGAGACACCCGAAUGGAGAUCUGGAGGAGGGACCUGAAGUUCAGGAGUCAUCAUGCUUUGAUGGUAAUUGCACUCAUUGAUGAAUUGCUGAAGGAAGAAAAAAGUGAAUUCGUUUCAUUAAGAACUUGGCAAAAGGAGCAACUGGAGAACCAGAGCACAGCAUCAGCUUUACCAGCAGUAAAGCCGGAUAGGGUAACACUGUGACGUCCAAGCAGAGGAUCAGUUUUCUGAUAGGGCCAGAAAACACAGGGCGCUUUGUUAACCUGCGCGGAAGUUCAGCCCGGACCUCCUAGUUCUCUGCUCAGUAUCUAUACCUGGGGAUCCACUGGACCAUGACUUAUUACCCACCUGCAAGUGGAGAAGCAAGAACAAGUCACUUAGCUGGACCCAUCAGUGACAAGCUAACCUCUUGGAGACUUGAGAUAGGCACGUGCAGCUCCUAGGAGCACUUGGGUCUAAGAAACCAGGAGAAAAAGAACAGUGACCUAUCAACACUUAACUUUGCCCAGUAAGGAAAUGUGGCGAGUAGGUGGGGCACUUUCCCUAGUCUCACCAAUCAGAAGACCAUCUUCCUCCAAGAGAAGAACUGAGGAAGGUGGGAAGGGCAGGGCUAUAGAACAUUUCCCACCAGGGUCAUUGACCAUUCCGGAAGCAUGUAGAGAAACUGUUAUUCUUCAUUAUUUCUCCAGUGGAAAUAAUACACCAAAAUACUUUUUCCUUUCAUAUCAAGCACUGGUUAUUGAUGACCCAGAAAUCCCAGGAUGGAAAAGAGUUUAUUGAGGUCAAGUUUAAUUAUUCAUGUUCACCAUUUUGAUGAUUAUUAACCCUCUUUUCAACUGGCAGCAAAGGAUUUCUGGAGAUCAGCUAAUUCAGUGUCUCUGAAGAAGCUGGUACAGUUUGUUGUAAAUGUGUUUUGCUUCACAGACAAUAGUGCUGUGAUGGAAUGGUUUGUCCAUGAGUCUGUGAAUAAAUCACACACCUGUUAAAUUGUGUGCUGCACAUAAUGAAAGGGUUGUGAUGUGGGGUUUUUUUAAAAAACAAAUUGUUGCUUCUCUCCAUUUGCUGCUCCUAAACAAUUUCUCAGUGUAAUGUCUUGUGUAUCUCCCCUUUUAGUGAAGCUCAAAGUACUUCAUGGCAUUCAUAUUUAUGAAUUCCAAUUCUAUUUAUUCUCCCCAUCAACUUUCAGAGUUGCAAAUAUAAACACUGCAAUUUGGCAUAUGAGCAAAUUAAAAUAUAUCAACAUUCUGAUCCUGUACUAGGUCAUACUGUAAGUCAAAUAGGGAGAAGUAGAAGUGGUAGCUCCUGAACCGGUGCCAGGUCAUGCCACUCAUCUGGGUGCCCUGUGGAAGGUGUGCACGACCCUGGAGGGACUCCCCUUAGCCUUGGAGCUCAGGCACCUAUUCAGGAACAUCUACAAUGGAUGAGAUCUCUACGCCAGGAACAUGGCCAUUUUGUCCACUGACCCAGGCUAAAGGAAGGAGGAAACCAUGAAGAUUCUGUGUUUAAAAACUUGUGCAUGGAUACCUUCUGAAUCUUCAGUUGUAUCUUGUAGCUUUAAAGCAAUUUCGUCUUCAAGGCUAGGGAAAUAUAUUCCCUAUGAAGGAGGAUAUUACAUCUUUAUCUAAGCUAAGCAGUAAUUGCAACACUCAUUUGGUCCUACUUUGUACAUGUUAUCUCCCAAGAUAGGCAGGGAAAAGAAUAAAGGCUUUGGAGCCAGACAAUCUGGCUUUGAAUUCAUGCUCCACAUUCUAGUUAUUGACCUAGCUACUUAACUUACCUGAUUUGUUUAUUCAUCUUAACAUAGGCAUUUUUUAGAUUCCAAAUGGAAUAGAUUCUAAAAAAUACAACUAGUGAAUAUAACAAUAAAAAGAGGCCGACUCACAGAUACAGAGAACAAACUAGUGGUUACCAGUGGGGAGAGGGAACAGGAGAGGGGCAACAUAGGAGUAGGAGAUUAAGAGGUACAAGCUAUUAGGUAUAAAAUAAGCUAUAAGAAUAUAUUGUACAACAUGAGGAAUACAGCCAGUAUCUUACAACUAUAAAUGCAAUAUAACUUUUAAAAAUUGUGACUCACUAUACUGUACUCCUGUAACGUAUAAUAUUGUACAUCAACUAUACUUCAAUAAAAUUUUUUUAAAUAGGCAUAAAAUUAUUAUAGAGUAGUGCUGUUGGGGGAAUUAAAUGAGAUUGUGUGUGUGUGUAUAUAAACAGAACAUGUCACAUGUUUUGUUAGAUGUUAAACAUGUAGAAGUUAGAUGCUUUUACUGUGCUUUGGCUGCUUUUUAUAUUAACUUCUUUAUUGGUCCACCUGGUCCACAUAUACUUAUCUAUCAUAGCAUCAGAGAGGUUCUUUAGCUUGAAAUAUCGUAACUGCAAAGGGAAGUGAAAGAGACAGAGAGAGAGAGAGAAAGGAAAAAGAAAAAGAAGAAUUGAAAAUGACUGAAAUGCCUUAUUACUGAGAGCUACAUGCAGUUGACUUAGCCAUAGCUGUACUAAAAAACUGUAUGUUCCAUACAGCGGAGUUCUGAUAUAACUCACAAUUCCUCCUCACUGAGAACUGAAGAAGACUCCCACGGGCAAGACAAAUAGAGUAGUCUCUGGUCUAGGAUAAACUUUCCUUUCCUCCUUUUUCAGCCAAGCCUUCCCUGCCUGCUCUGAGAGGCUGCAGUCUAGCUGGCCCCUGUUCUCAAUAUUUUCUCAUUCACUUGCUCCACGUUUGCUUUACUUUGAGAAGAGCUCUUAUCACUGUAUUGCUAAGGAAGGUCUCAUACUCUCCAGAGACUGAAUCAGAAUGCUAGCCACUAUUUACUUGGGAUAUCAUUGAAAUACUCCUCUUUUUAUUUUUGUUUCCCUCAAAGCUUUUUUCUCUUUUUUAUCCGGCCAGAGGAGCCCCCUGCCCUUUUCCGCAGGGGAUAUGUUUCACGACCUCCCAGUGGAUGCCUGAAACCACAGAUAGUACCAAACUCUAUGUAUAUUACGUUUUUUUCCUAUACAUGCAUACCUAUGAUAAAGUUUAAUUUAUAAAUUAGGCACAAUAAGAGAUUAACAACAACUCAUAAUAAAAUAGAAUAAUUAUAAUGAUAUACUGUACUAAAAGUUAGGUGAAUAUGGUCUCUCUCUCUCAAAAUAUCUUAUUUUACAGAUUUAAUACCCUUUCCAUCUUAACUAAGCACUUAUCACUUAAUGUGGUGAAUGUGAAUUUCUUUUUCCCUCUUCCAAUUUUACAAAGAGAAGAUUCAUUCUUACCAUAGGUCUUAGCAAACACAGCACAUGAUUUUUUUUUUUUUUCUUAUUAAGUUGAGAACUUUCACCUCUACAUUAAAUUUGGAUAGCACUUUACGGCUUCUCUUUGGCGUAUCUGAAUUGCCAGCAUCACUACUUUGGGGCCAUUAUUAAGUAAAAUAAGGGUUACUUGACAAUAAGCAACGUGAUACUGCAAUAGUUAUCUGAUAACCUAGGUGACUACCUGGCGGAAUACACUGGACAAAGGGAUGAUUUACGUCCCGGGAGGGACAGAGCGAGAUUUCAUCAUGCUACUCAGAACAGCGUGCAACUUAAAACUUAUGAAAUGUUUAUUUCUGUAAUUUUCCAUUUAAUCUUUUCUGACCAAGGUUGACUGUGGAUAAUUGAAAUUUCAGCAAGCAAAACAGCAGAUAAGGAGGGUCUGCUGUAUUCUAGGUCAUACUGGGGAGAUUUUACUUUCGUUUUUCUUCUCAUUCUCUGCUCCUGUUGGUGGAGGCAGUAAUUUUCAUGUUGGUUUCAACCUGAACAAUGAAUUCCCUCAUUGAGUAAAACGUGGAUGCCAUGACUUUUUUGUAUAAUUUCUGUAUAUGAACGGUACCUCUGGCUGUAACAGAUUAAGACUGCACCCCUUAACUAACCAUUUACAUCCAAUGCUGAGUGGGUUUCUAAAAGCACAUAAAGUGAUAUUGAAAUCUGUGUCUGUUAUCUUCAAGUGCCGUUUUCUGAGGUUGGUCAGCAGGGCCUUCUAGCCUCAUAAAAUAACUAAGUAGGAAGCAUAAACAAAAACCAUCUGGCCUCGAAAAUGCUGCUCUCCUCUCCCCUUACUCUUCUAUAGCUUCUGAAAUCCUCAGCACUUCAUUCAUUUUUCAGUCCACAAGUAUUUAUUGAGGUCCUCCAAGUAUUUCAUCACAGAACUAGGUGGUGGGAACUCAUAGAGCAGUAUAUGUAUAUGAAUAUAUAUGAGGCUGCAACGUACACAGAACUCACAGUGGGUCCAGAAGGGGGCCAGUUAAACAGUGAUCACAGUAAUUGGUGCUCAGUGCCGUGGCAGGAAAAGUACGCUUUGCUCAGGAGCCUUUCUAUAACAUUUUAACCUGUGGAGAUGGAGGGAGACAGGGGAUACUUCCUGGAGGAAGUUAAAUUUUAACAACCCUAUGAUGCCAGUCUUUUGAACUAAGGCAUUUGUUUUUACCUUUGUUAAAAUGCAAACUAUGUACUCGGAAGAAAACUACUUUGACAUCAUAAGAACUAUGGGUAUUAGUACCAAUUAAUGUUCACAAACUGAGGCCCUGAAGAAAUAAAUAUUUGAACUGUUAAAUUUUGGACGGUGGCGAAGAGAAAUUAAGCCCAGGGCACUGGUAAAAAGAGCAGGGAGCCGCUUCUGUGGUGGAUUUUGUGUCUGCAGGAAUUCGAGGUGCUUGGGAGGAGAUAGGGCUUGGGCUCAAGACACUGAAAUAGGUGCAGCUACAGCAAUAAUUUCCCCUGCAUUUAGCUUUGCCUAAAGCCCACUCCACUCUUGAGCUAGUCCUUACAAAUCCCCCUCAUCAAGGAAAAUGCCUCAGCUUGGCUUCUAGAUAGUGAAAGUGAAGUGUGAGAGGAAAAAUAUCUUUAUAAAAUCUAACAAUAUGUCUAAGGUAGUUGUGAUCCAAGACAAGUUUGGCUGGAAAAAUCCAUCUUGUUUUCCUAUAGGUUAUCUCUAUGACCCCUCCUUCUAUGUAAAUUGUUUAUAACUGUGUGAUUCUAUAACUUAACAUAAAAAUUGGUCGUUCAUUAUUUGAUUACAUUACAUGAACAUGAGCUGGCAUCUCCACUUCCUCAUUCCUAUAGCAUUUCAGAAAUGCCAGUGAGUCUCCUCUUUAUUAUUUAGAAAAACUUUCAGUUAAACAUAACUGCAACAUAAUUUAUAUUGGUGCUCUGGGAUGUAAUAAAAAUCCUUCACCCUAAUCUCAAUCUGUGUCCUUUUUUAGUCCAAUUCAAAACAUUUAUCAAAUGAUUUGCCUUCUUCCAUUAAGUAAAUAAUAGGAACUCUUUCCUUGUGAAAAUGAAGAGAGUUUGCAAGUUAUCUGCAAAUAGGAAUUUUGUCUCUAUUCCCCUUCCUGCUGUAGGGGAUGAAAACUCUGCAAACCCGGAACCUUACCUCUCCUGAUAGUGGGGUGUGUGUGUGUGUGUGU